Molecule: long non-coding RNA, 688 nt
Organism: Ziziphus jujuba (common jujube)
Lineage: Eukaryota; Viridiplantae; Streptophyta; Magnoliopsida; Rosales; Rhamnaceae
Exons: 2
Source: RefSeq, a predicted model, not a curated record
CGUUAGUAUUUUAUAUAUAUAUAUAGACAGCGAACUGCUACUGCGCACGUAUUGGAAUGCACUAUUCACUAACGUUACAGUCUAACAUCUAUUUAAUCAAAGCGGUGCAUUUUAACACCCUUUUCUUUUUUAAAAAAAAUAAAACAUUGUUGCAUCUCUUCCUUCCUCUCUUCCUACUUAUACGAUCUGACCUAACUCUUUGCUCUCUUCCUUCCUAAAAUUUCAAUACCCAACUGGAAAAAGCUCACCAGCUUCUUCCAUCCUCUCUUCCUUAUACGCUCCAACCAACAGCAGAAAGCCGCCAACUCUUAAGGCCAUCAGCUCCCCACCACUUUUAUUUCUUUGUCGCUGCACACUCACCCCCAUUUUUCCAUUCUACAACUUUUCCUCUACAGAUUGGAGACAAGCAACAUGUUUGAUGAGACUGAAACAUUGUACACUCCACAAAUUGUAGAGCAAAAAAGCCAAAGGUCAAACAAGAAUUUCAAACAAUUGAAUAGGCUUUCCAAAUUUACAAUGCAUAUGCAUGAUAAUGUAGAGUUAGUGCAAGAAUGAGUACUAAUAAGAGAAAAAAAGGAACAAAUGAGCUAAUAUGGAAACAGUUUGUGUGUUUUAAGGAAGGAGAGACGAAUGAACAUUAUCAAAGAAAGAAAAAUAUACAGUCCAAAGAUUAUGCGAAAGAAACUGA